Molecule: long non-coding RNA, 2659 nt
Organism: Homo sapiens (human)
Lineage: Eukaryota; Metazoa; Chordata; Mammalia; Primates; Hominidae
Gene: NR2F1-AS1
Product: NR2F1 antisense RNA 1
Source: Ensembl
ACGGCCCGGUUCCGCGCGGGCAGUUGGCGCCCCCUCGGGUCGGCACAGCAGACCUCUUAGUAAUGGUCCCCAGGGAGUACAGGGACUGAGAAACGGAAAUACUACCAUCCUCCAGCCAAUCUGUUGGGAGGACUGCUUGCAGAGGACUCGUGCUCCAGAUGUUGCACUAGAGGCGCUGCAAGUGUGAGCAGCAGGUAGAUGAAACUCAAGAGAAAAGGUGUGGAUAAAUGAAACUAGCCCAUGAUGAACCUGUUUUCUCCGUGACCACAAUAUUAACCAGGAUGAAUGGCGGUGGCAGUGGGCCUGCAUCACAGGUUGCAGCAGAUGUUCUCAAUAUUUCUAUUAAAAUUUCCUUAUUUCCAUAUGCAAGAGGAGCCCCAGAGCUGCAUCCUUAUGGUAGCUACCAUGCCGUGAUGUAAGCUGCCAUUCACUGGGGAGCUUUGGCAAUAGAAUUGGCUAGAUCAGGAAGCCUAUGUCAACUAUGGAACAACAACUUGCAGCUCAUCUCUAUUGAUGAUACACUGCCUCUAGGACUGGGACAGAUAGCCACUGAGUACCUGCUUCAAAUCACCCUGCACGUUUUCUCUUUGGAAAGAUAAGCACUGGAGAACCAUCUCGUUACCUUCAGCAGAAAUGGAAACAAAUCAAGACAUUAAGAAUGCCGCAGUGGACAGCAGUUAUGCAAGGUUCAGCAGAGGAAGUUUUCAAGAUGGUGUGCCUCACUAGCCAGAAAUCAGAAAAGAUCGAAGCUAGCCUUUUCAUCUCAGCUGCUCCUUAAAUCAGUGCAACCCCUCCAAAUUAAUGUGAAUUGAAACUUGCAUUGCUUUUCAACUUAAUUGAAUACUUACUAUAUGUGAACCACUGCACAAAAUAGGGGAAGAAGAUGUGGGAGACAAAGAUGUGGAGCCUGUCUUCAAUAAAUUUACAGUUAGUUUCAGGGUACAUUGUUUUUCUUCUGCUGUUAAUUAGGUGUAUCCCCAAGACAAUAAAUACAUGAAUGGAAAAGUAUAUUCUGUGUUUUAAGUCUCUUUAAUAAAAAACAAAACAAAAUCCAAAAAAACUCCUAACAUGGCAACUCAGGACAUUUUAAUCCUUUUUUUUGUUGUUGGGCUUCUGAUAGGAUCCAUUUUAUUGAUUCCAUAAAUAUUUAGUAGACUUUAGACAUAUUAAUACAUUGUAGUUUGAGUUAAUUUGCAUUAAAUUCUGUUUUUUUCCCCUUAGGUAUAGAUUGUCUGUUGGAAAAAUAUAUUGCUUGUGGAUUUCUUGGGGAGUGGGAAGGUGAAUUAUACCUGUUGUCUCUACAGUCCACUACCUUCCACACCCUAGGGCAGUGGUCCCCAACCUUCUUGGCACCAGGGAUCAGUUUCCUGGAAGACAAUUUUUCUGUGGAUGGUGUGGGGAUGGUUUUGGGAUGGAACUGUUCCACCUCAGAUCAUCAGGCAUUAGUUAGGCUCUCAUAACGAGUGCGCAGCCUAGAUCCCUCACAUGCACAGUUCACAGUAGGGUUUGCGCUGCUAUGAGAAUCUAAGGCUGCCACUGAUCUGACAGGAGGCAGAACUCAGGUGGCAAUGCUUACUGGCCCACUGCUCACCUCUUGCUGUGCGGCCUGGUUCCUAAUAGGCCAUGGACCCCCACAGACGGGUACUAGUCUGCAGCCUGUGGACCCCAGCCCUAGGGGCCUGCCAUUCUGAGUGAGUUAUUAGCAUGAAGAAGAGGAAGAUCUGGAUCAAACGUGGGUGAUGGUACUCAGAGACCCAAGAUAGGAUAGGGAUGGAACAAAAUCCAUCUGGGCAACGGCUCUAUGAAAAUUUGGCUAAGUAAUUAUUUCAGUAUUCAUUGUAUUCAUUGUCCUUCGUGUUCCAUAAGUUAAAUGACUGUCUAAUUUUUCCAAAAAUUUAUUUCUGACUUGAGAAUAAGUGUGUCAUGAUUUUCCCAGUGUAAAGACACUGAUAUAACUGUAGAUACCAGACAUUUUAUGUAGUGUCUAUGACACAUUUUAGUAUGUAUGAGCCAACAAUAGACAUGUCUUUGUCUUGAGGAGUGUCCAUCUGAAUUGAAAAUGUGUCAGCUUUUUUUUAACAUCAUCAACAGACUUCUUAAUUAAGCUGCCAAUACAUACUGCCAAUAGCACUGUGUGCUGUCUGAGAAAUGCAUUGUGUAAGUGCUAUUUCCAUCUUAUUAAAUAAACAAUGUUGCUCUGUAUAAACUGGAUUUAAAGUGUUCUUUGAAUGAGGCAUUAUAUUGCUCCAUAAAUAAUGUGAUGUGAAUUCUCAUAUGAUCCCUUUUAACUUAAUUUCUAAAAAAAUAUUAUUUGCUCCUCAGUAAGGAAUAGCUCUAAUUGGACUGGUAACUUUAGUGAUAUGAUUUGUCUGUAACAGGCUGAAUCGCCCCACUCCCAAACUCCUGGUCGUGAUACUGGAUAUUUGUUAUGCCACUUUUAGUUUGCAUGAGGUAUCUUCCAGGAAGUAUUAGUUAUUAACUUGUGUUCUACUAAACUGUAGAUAUUUAUUUCCUGUUCUGGAAGAUUUCUUGGAGUGUCCAUCUGUGCAUUCCUGGUGCCUAGUGUAGUCUUGCUAAUGGAAUAGCACCUUUAUUGGUGCUACUUAGGGGUUGGUAGCUUACAAUCAAUCUACUUGGAACGUAUCCAAAUAAACUGGAU